RNAcentral lists this non-coding RNA (22 nucleotides) under Arabidopsis thaliana (thale cress). Lineage: Eukaryota; Viridiplantae; Streptophyta; Magnoliopsida; Brassicales; Brassicaceae. The record is from RNAcentral.
GACCGCAUAGCGCAGUGGAUUA